RNAcentral lists this ribosomal RNA (327 nucleotides) under Bacillus cereus. RNAcentral describes it as "bacterial SSU rRNA". It matches the Rfam family "Bacterial small subunit ribosomal RNA", at positions 1 to 315 of the family's 1533-position model. Lineage: Bacteria; Bacillati; Bacillota; Bacilli; Caryophanales; Bacillaceae. The record is from RNAcentral.
UUUAUUGGAGAGUUUGAUCCUGGCUCAGGAUGAACGCUGGCGGCGUGCCUAAUACAUGCAAGUCGAGCGAAUGGAUUAAGAGCUUGCUCUUAUGAAGUUAGCGGCGGACGGGUGAGUAACACGUGGGUAACCUGCCCAUAAGACUGGGAUAACUCCGGGAAACCGGGGCUAAUACCGGAUAACAUUUUGAACCGCAUGGUUCGAAAUUGAAAGGCGGCUUCGGCUGUCACUUAUGGAUGGACCCGCGUCGCAUUAGCUAGUUGGUGAGGUAACGGCUCACCAAGGCAACGAUGCCUAGCCGACCUGAGAGGGUGAUCGGCCACACUG